GAUGAACGCUGGCGGCGUGCUUAACACAUGCAAGUCGAACGGACUUUACAUGAAACCUAGUGAUUGUAAAGUUAGUGGCGGACGGGUGAGUAACGCGUGGGUAACCUGCCUUGUACAGGGGGACAACAGUUGGAAACGACUGCUAAUACCGCAUAAGCGCACAGAGCUGCAUGGCUCAGUGUGAAAAACUUUAGUGGUACAAGAUGGACCCGCGUCUGAUUAGCUAGUUGGUGAGGUAACGGCCCACCAAGGCGACGAUCAGUAGCCGGCCUGAGAGGGUGAACGGCCACAUUGGGACUGAGACACGGCCCAAACUCCUACGGGAGGCAGCAGUGGGGAAUAUUGCACAAUGGGGGAAACCCUGAUGCAGCGACGCCGCGUGAGUGAAGAGUAUUUCGGUAUGUAAAGCUCUAUCAGCAGGGAAGAAAAUGACGGUACCUGACUAAGAAGCCCCGGCUAAACUACGUG
Molecule: ribosomal RNA, 468 nt
Filed under: uncultured bacterium
Lineage: Bacteria
Description: bacterial SSU rRNA
Rfam family: Bacterial small subunit ribosomal RNA
Source: RNAcentral